GGAGUUGUGUCUCAGUGGUAGAGCACACGUCUAGUCCGUGUGAGGCACUGGGUUUGAUUCUCAGCACCG
This 69-nucleotide transfer RNA is filed under the name Marmota monax (woodchuck). Its description in RNAcentral is "tRNA.Thr". The record is from RNAcentral. Lineage: Eukaryota; Metazoa; Chordata; Mammalia; Rodentia; Sciuridae.